Molecule: transfer RNA, 91 nt
Filed under: Phaeodactylibacter sp.
Lineage: Bacteria; Pseudomonadati; Bacteroidota; Saprospiria; Saprospirales; Haliscomenobacteraceae
Description: tRNA-Ser
Rfam family: tRNA
About the family: Transfer RNA (tRNA) molecules are approximately 80 nucleotides in length. Their secondary structure includes four short double-helical elements and three loops (D, anti-codon, and T loops).
Source: RNAcentral
GGAGGAGUGGCAGAGCUGGUUUAAUGCACCGGUCUUGAAAACCGGCGGGGGUUAACGCCCACCGGGGGUUCGAAUCCCUCCUCCUCCGCAA